Molecule: ribosomal RNA, 221 nt
Filed under: uncultured bacterium
Lineage: Bacteria
Description: partial 16S ribosomal RNA
Rfam family: Bacterial small subunit ribosomal RNA
Source: RNAcentral
GAUCAUGGCUCAGGAUGAACGCUGGCGGCGUGCUUAACACAUGCAAGUCGAACGAAGCACUUUAAUUGAUUUCUUCGGAAUGAAGUUUUUGUGACUGAGUGGCGAACGGGUGAGUAAUACAUAAGUAACCUGGCAUCUACAGGGGGAUAACUGAUGGAAACGUCAGCUAAGACCGCAUAGGUGUAGAGAUCGCAUGAACUCUAUAUGAAAAGUGCUACGGG